RNAcentral lists this ribosomal RNA (428 nucleotides) under uncultured bacterium. RNAcentral describes it as "partial 16S ribosomal RNA". It matches the Rfam family "Bacterial small subunit ribosomal RNA", at positions 354 to 796 of the family's 1533-position model. The record is from RNAcentral.
GUGGGGAAUAUUGGGCAAUGGGGGAAACCCUGACCCAGCAACGCCGCGUGAGGGAAGAAGGUUUUCGGAUUGUAAACCUCUGUCCUUGGUGACGAAGGAAGUGACGGUAACCAAGGAGGAAGCCCCGGCUAACUACGUGCCAGCAGCCGCGGUAAUACGUAGGGGGCAAGCGUUGUCCGGAAUGACUGGGCGUAAAGGGCGUGUAGGCGGCCGAUUAAGUCUGGAGUGAAAGUCCUGCUUUCAAGGUGGGAAUUGCUUUGGAGACUGGUUGGCUUGAGUGCGGAAGAGGUAAGUGGAAUUCCCAGUGUGGCGGUGAAAUGCGUAGAGAUUGGGAGGAACACCAGUGGCGAAGGCGACUUACUGGGCCGUAACUGACGCUGAGGCGCGAAAGCGUGGGGAGCGAACAGGAUUAGAUACCCGGGUAGUCC